CGCGUAGGCGGCUUGGCAAGUCAGAUGUGAAAGCCCCGGGCUUAACUCGGGAAUUGCAUCUGAAACUGCUUUGCUUGAGUCCUGGAUGGGAUAGUGGAAUUCCCAGUGUAGCGGUGAAAUGCGUAGAUAUUGGGAGGAACACCUGCGGCGAAGGCGGCUAUCUGGACAGUGACUGACGCUGAGGCGCGAAAGCUAGGGGAGCGAACG
RNAcentral lists this ribosomal RNA (207 nucleotides) under uncultured Acidobacteriota bacterium. Its description in RNAcentral is "uncultured Acidobacteria bacterium partial 16S ribosomal RNA". It matches the Rfam family "Bacterial small subunit ribosomal RNA", at positions 568 to 774 of the family's 1533-position model. Lineage: Bacteria; Pseudomonadati; Acidobacteriota. The record is from RNAcentral.